Molecule: microRNA precursor, 110 nt
Filed under: Podarcis lilfordi (Lilford's wall lizard)
Lineage: Eukaryota; Metazoa; Chordata; Lepidosauria; Squamata; Lacertidae
Source: RNAcentral
CAGCAGCACUCUCACUUUCUCUCUCUCUCUCUCUCUCUCUCUCUCUGUGUGUGUGUGUGUGUGUGAGAGAGAGAGAGAGAGAGAGAGAGAGAGAGAGAUAGAAAUAGCCU